CAAUAGCGUAUAUUAAAGUUGUUGCGGUUAAAAGCUCGUAGUUGGAUUUCUGCUGAGGGCGUCCGGUCCGCAUUUUGUGCGUGCAUCUGGUUCGGCCUUGGCAUCCUCUUGAAGUUUGUCGCUGCGCUUGAUUGCGUGGCGCGAAAUUCAGGACUUUUACUUUGAGGAAAUUAGAGUGUUCACGGCAGGCAAACGCCUUGAAUACAUUAGCAUGGAAUAAUAGUAUAGGACCAUGGUUCUAUUUUGUUGGUUUCUGGAGCCACGGUAAUGAUUAAUAGGGAUAAUUGGGGGCAUUCGUAUUAACACGUCAGAGGUGAAAUUCUUGGAUUGUGUUACGACGAACUACUGCGAAAGCAUUUGCCAAGGAUGUUUUCAUUGAUCAAGAACGAAAGUAAGGGGAUCGAAGAUGAUCAGAUACCAU
RNAcentral lists this ribosomal RNA (421 nucleotides) under uncultured eukaryote. RNAcentral's name for it is "SSU rRNA". It matches the Rfam family "Eukaryotic small subunit ribosomal RNA", at positions 592 to 1018 of the family's 1831-position model. The record is from RNAcentral.